RNAcentral lists this ribosomal RNA (727 nucleotides) under uncultured fungus. RNAcentral's name for it is "eukaryotic LSU rRNA". The stretch from base 488 to 727 matches the Rfam family "Eukaryotic large subunit ribosomal RNA", at positions 1 to 237 of the family's 3401-position model. The record is from RNAcentral. Lineage: Eukaryota; Fungi.
GAUUUUUAUACAUCAACUCAUUUUUUAACUAAUUUGUCUGAAAAAUAUUAUGAAUACUUAAUUCAAAAUACAACUUUCAACAACGGAUCUCUUGGCUCUCGCAUCGAUGAAGAACGCAGCGAAAUGCGAUACGUAAUGUGAAUUGCAGAAUUCAGUGAAUCAUCGAAUCUUUGAACGCAUAUUGCGCUCUCUGGUAUUCCGGAGAGCAUGCUUGUUUGAGUAUCAGUAAACACCCCUCAGAACUUCUUGAUUUUCGAAUCUUGGAGCUCUGGAUUUGAGUGAUCCCAACGCGUUCUUUCGCAGAACAUGGCGGGCCACUUGAAAUGCAGGUGCAGCUGGACUUUCUUCUGAGCUAAAAGCAUAUUUAUUUAGUCCUGUCAACACUUGUGUUGCGGAUUAUUACUUCUGCUGCAGCUAACAUAAAGGUUGAUUGUUCAAAUGCUGACUGAUGCAGGAUUUAUCAGUAGCGUAAGCUAUCUGUUAAACUCGAUCUCAAAUCAAGUAAGACUACCCGCUGAACUUAAGCAUAUCAAUAAGCGGAGGAAAAGAAACUAACAAGGAUUCCCCUAGUAACGGCGAGUGAAGCGGGAUGAGCUCAAAUUUAAAAUCUGGCUGGUUUACUAGUCCGAAUUGUAGUUUAAAGAAGCGUUUUCGGUGGCAGCCUGGGUAUAAAUCCUUUGGAAUAGGGUAUCAUAGAGGGUGAGAAUCCCGUCUUUGACUCAGUGAA